ACUAUACAUAUAAAAUUAAAGUAGUAUUUUUCAAAAAAACUCAUAAAACUUGGCAGUUAUUAUUAUUCUAGAGGAGUUUGUUUUAUAAUCGACAACACCCGAUAUAUUUAACUUUAUAUAAAAAUUUAUAUACCGCCGUUAUUAAUCUAUAGAAAUAAAAUAAAGCAUAUUUCAAAUACAAAAUCAUAUUUAAAAAUCAGGUCAAGGUGUAAUAUAUUAUAAAGGAAAAAUUAACUACACAUAAAAAAUAACUUAAAGAUACUUACGUUAAAAUAAUUGAGUUGAAUUAGAAUCUAGAAAUAAAACUUAAAUUAAUAUUUUUUUUUGAAAUUUAUAAUAAUAAUGC
This 346-nucleotide ribosomal RNA is filed under the name Modisimus sp. Cu12-61. Its description in RNAcentral is "Platnicknia sp. Cu12-61 partial 12S ribosomal RNA". Lineage: Eukaryota; Metazoa; Arthropoda; Arachnida; Araneae; Pholcidae. The record is from RNAcentral.